Molecule: transfer RNA, 86 nt
Filed under: Clostridia bacterium
Lineage: Bacteria; Bacillati; Bacillota; Clostridia
Description: tRNA-Leu
Rfam family: tRNA
About the family: Transfer RNA (tRNA) molecules are approximately 80 nucleotides in length.
Source: RNAcentral
GCCGAAGUGGCGGAAUGGCAGACGCGUUGGACUCAAAAUCCAGUGAGGUCACACUCGUGAGGGUUCGAGUCCCUCCUUCGGUACCA